Molecule: ribosomal RNA, 492 nt
Filed under: uncultured bacterium
Lineage: Bacteria
Description: partial 16S ribosomal RNA
Rfam family: Bacterial small subunit ribosomal RNA
Source: RNAcentral
AGUGAACGCUGGCGGUAGGCCUAACACAUGCAAGUCGAACGGCAGCACAGUAAGAGCUUGCUCUUACGGGUGGCGAGAGGAGGACGGGUGAGGAAUAGAUCGGAAUCUACUUUUUCGUGGGGGGUAACGAAGGGAAACUUACGCUAAUACCGCAUACGAUCUACGGGUGAAAGCAGGGGAUCUUAGGACUUUGCGCGAGUGAAUGAGGAGAUGACGUAUCAGCUGCUUGGCGGGGUAAAGGCCGACCAAGGCGACGAUACGUAGCUGGUCUGAGAGGAUGAUGAGCCACACUAUCACUAGCACACGCCCCAGACUCCUACGGAUGUCACCAGUGGGGUAUAUUGGACAGUGUGUGCAAGCCUGAUGCAGCAAAACCGCGAGUGUGAAGAGGGCCUUCGGGUUGUAAAGCCCUUUUGUUGGGAAAGAAACGCAGCAUAUUAAUCCCCCGCUGGUCUGACGGUACCCAAAGAAUAAGCACCGGCUAACUUCGUG